RNAcentral lists this unclassified non-coding RNA (335 nucleotides) under soil metagenome. RNAcentral's name for it is "partial contains 5.8S ribosomal RNA, internal transcribed spacer 2, and large subunit ribosomal RNA". The stretch from base 1 to 120 matches the Rfam family "5.8S ribosomal RNA", at positions 35 to 154 of the family's 154-position model. The record is from RNAcentral.
GAUGAAGAACGCAGCGAAAUGCGAUAAGUAAUGUGAAUUGCAGAAUUCAGUGAAUCAUCGAAUCUUUGAACGCACAUUGCGCCCGCCAGUAUUCUGGCGGGCAUGCCUGUUCGAGCGUCAUUUCAACCAUCAAGCCCCCGGCUUGUGUUGGGGACCUGCGGCUGCCGCAGGCCCUGAAAACCAGUGGCGGGCUCGCUAGUCACUCCGAGCGUAGUAGUUACAUCUCGCUCAGGGCGUGCUGCGGGUUCCGGCCGUUAAAAGCCUUAUUUACCCAAGGUUGACCUCGGAUCAGGUAGGAAGACCCGCCGAACUUAAGCAUAUCAAUAAGCGGAGGA